CCUACGGGGGGCAGCAGUCGAGAAUCAUUCACAAUGGGGGAAACCCUGAUGGUGCGACGCCGCGUGGGGGAAUGAAGGUCUUCGGUUUGUAAACCCCUGUCAUGUGGGAGCAAAUUAAAAAGAUAGUACCACAAGAGGAAGAGACGGCUAACUCUGUGCCAGCAGCCGCGGUAAUACAGAGGUCUCAAGCGUUGUUCGGAAUCACUGGGCGUAAAGCGUGCGUAGGCUGUUUCGUAAGUCGUGUGUGAAAGGCGCGGGCUCAACCCCCGGACGGCACAUGAUACUGCGAGACUAGAGUAAUGGAGGGGGAACCGGAAUUCCCGGUGUAGCAGUGAAAUGCGUAGAUAUCGAGAGGAACACUCGUGGCGAAGGCGGGUUCCUGGACAUUAACUGACGCUGAGGCGCGAAGGCCAGGGGAGCGAAAGGGAUUAGAUACCCCUGUAGUC
RNAcentral lists this ribosomal RNA (446 nucleotides) under uncultured bacterium. Its description in RNAcentral is "partial 16S ribosomal RNA". It matches the Rfam family "Bacterial small subunit ribosomal RNA", at positions 338 to 795 of the family's 1533-position model. The record is from RNAcentral.